AGGACGAACGCUGGCGGCGUGCUUAACACAUGCAAGUCGAGCCGGUAAGACCGUCCUUCGGGGGGUACACGAGCGGCGAACGGGUGAGUAACACGUGGGUGACCUGCCCUCAGCUCUGGGAUAAGCCUGGGAAACCGGGUCUAAUACCGGAUGGGACUGCUUGCCGCAUGGUGGGUGGUGGAAAGUUUUUUCGGCUGGGGAUGGGCCCGCGGCCUAUCAGCUUGUUGGUGGGGUGAUGGCCUACCAAGGCGGUGACGGGUA
This 261-nucleotide ribosomal RNA is filed under the name uncultured bacterium. RNAcentral's name for it is "partial small subunit ribosomal RNA". It matches the Rfam family "Bacterial small subunit ribosomal RNA", at positions 26 to 285 of the family's 1533-position model. The record is from RNAcentral.